This 151-nucleotide ribosomal RNA is filed under the name uncultured archaeon. RNAcentral's name for it is "partial 16S ribosomal RNA". It matches the Rfam family "Archaeal small subunit ribosomal RNA", at positions 495 to 645 of the family's 1478-position model. The record is from RNAcentral.
CCACUUUUAUUGGGCUUAAAGCGUUCGUAGCUGGGUUGUUAAGUCUCUUGGGAAAUCUGGCGGCUUAACCGUCAGGCGUCUAAGGGAUACUGGCAAUCUUGGAACCGGGAGAGGUGAGGGGUACUUCGGGGGUAGGAGUGAAAUCCUGUAA